GACCUAUACCCGGCCGUCGGG
Molecule: small nuclear RNA, 21 nt
Filed under: Arabidopsis thaliana (thale cress)
Lineage: Eukaryota; Viridiplantae; Streptophyta; Magnoliopsida; Brassicales; Brassicaceae
Description: snRNA_01978
Source: RNAcentral